RNAcentral lists this ribosomal RNA (434 nucleotides) under uncultured bacterium. RNAcentral's name for it is "partial 16S ribosomal RNA". It matches the Rfam family "Bacterial small subunit ribosomal RNA", at positions 29 to 507 of the family's 1533-position model. The record is from RNAcentral.
AGCGAACGCUGGCGGCAGGCCUAACACAUGCAAGUCGAACGAACCUUUCGGGGUUAGUGGCGGACGGGUGAGUAACACGUGGGAACGUGCCUUUAGGUUCGGAAUAACUCAGGGAAACUUGUGCUAAUACCGAAUGUGCCCUUCGGGGGAAAGAUUUAUCGCCUUUAGAGCGGCCCGCGUCUGAUUAGCUAGUUGGUUGAGGUAAUGGCUCACCAAGGCGACGAUCAGUAGCUGGUCUGAGAGGAUGAUCAGCCACAUUGGGAGUGAGACACGGCCCAAACUCCUACGGGAGGCAGCAGUGGGGAAUCUUGCGCAAUGGGCGAAAGCCUGAAGCAGCCAUGCCGCGUGAAUGAUGAAGGUCUUAGGAUUGUAAAAUUCUUUCACCGGGGACGAUAAUGACGGUACCCGGAGAAGAAGCCCCGGCUAACUUCGUG